AACGUAGGAGACGAGCGUUAUCCGGAUUUACUGGGCGUAAAGAGCGUGUAGGAGGCAGUACAAGUUGGAUGUGAAAGCUCCCGGCUUAACUGGGAGAGGUCGUUCAAAACUGUGCAGCUAGAGGAAGGCAGAGGUAGACGGAACUCCGGGAGUAGUGGUGAAAUGCGUAGAUAUCCGGAAGAACACCAGAGGCGAAGGCGGUCUACUGGGCCUUAACUGACACUGAGACGCGAAAGCCAGGGUAGCAAACGGGAUUAGAGACCCCGGUAGUCCUGGCCGUAAACGAUGCAGACUGGGCGUUUAUGGGGUAAAACCUGUGAGUGCCGAAGCAAACGCGAUAAGUCUGCCGCCUGGGGAGUACGGUCGCAAGAUUAAAACUCAAAGGAAUUGACGGGGGCCCGCACAAGCAGCGGAGCGUGUGGUUUAAUUCGAUGAUACGCGAAGAACCUUACCAGGGUUUGACAUACAAGUGGUAGAGAAAGGAAACUGGACCGACCCUUCGGGGAGCUUGAACAGGUGCUGCAUGGCU
This 529-nucleotide ribosomal RNA is filed under the name uncultured bacterium. Its description in RNAcentral is "bacterial SSU rRNA". It matches the Rfam family "Bacterial small subunit ribosomal RNA", at positions 524 to 1050 of the family's 1533-position model. The record is from RNAcentral.